CAAGCUGUUCUUCCGGAGAGUGCAAGUCUCCCAAGGGUUUUCUGACCUGCUUCUAAGAAAACCACCACUACAACACUACUUUCUAGAGGUAAAAUCAGCCUUCUGGAAUCCCAGGCCCUGAGACCAAAGGGAAAGUCUGGAGACUAGAGUGGAAGAGGAGCAGGUUAAGGAGCACUUAAUAAAAACAAGCCGUGGGGUCUGAUGUGUA
Long non-coding RNA from Corapipo altera (White-ruffed manakin), 208 nucleotides. RefSeq lists it as uncharacterized. The transcript is spliced from 2 exons. Lineage: Eukaryota; Metazoa; Chordata; Aves; Passeriformes; Pipridae. The record is from RefSeq and is a predicted model, not a curated record.